This is a non-coding RNA of Angomonas deanei, 302 nucleotides long. NCBI's taxonomy places the organism in Eukaryota, Euglenozoa, Kinetoplastea, Trypanosomatida, Trypanosomatidae. The record is from Rfam.
CCCCCCCCCGGGUUUAAAAAACCCCGGGGGGUUUUUUUUUUUUAAAAACCCCCCGUUUUUUAAAACCCCCCGGGGGGGGGGGUAAAAAAAAAAAAAAAAACCCGGGGUUUUUUUAAAAAAAAAAAACGGGUUUUUUAAAAAAAACCCGGUUUUUUUAAACCCCCGGGGGUUUUACCCCCCCCCCCGGGGGGGUUUUAAAAACCCGGGUUUUUUUUUUUUUAAAACCGGGGGGUUUACCCCCGGGGGUUUUUUUUUUAAACCCGGGGGGUUUUUUUUAAAAACCCGGGGGGGUUUUAAAAAAA